RNAcentral lists this ribosomal RNA (253 nucleotides) under uncultured bacterium. RNAcentral's name for it is "partial 16S ribosomal RNA". It matches the Rfam family "Bacterial small subunit ribosomal RNA", at positions 524 to 776 of the family's 1533-position model. The record is from RNAcentral.
UACGGAGGGUGCAAGCGUUAUCCGGAUUCACUGGGUUUAAAGGGUGCGUAGGUGGGUCUGUAAGUCCGUGGUGGAAUCUCCGAGCUUAACUUGGAAACUGCCAUGGAUACUAUAGGUCUUGAAUACUGUGGAGGUCAGCGGAAUAUGUCAUGUAGCGGUGAAAUGCUUAGAUAUGACAUAGAACACCAAUUGCGAAGGCAGCUGGCUACACAAAUAUUGACACUGAGGCACGAAAGCGUGGGGAUCAAACAGG